Molecule: ribosomal RNA, 496 nt
Filed under: uncultured bacterium
Lineage: Bacteria
Description: partial 16S ribosomal RNA
Rfam family: Bacterial small subunit ribosomal RNA
Source: RNAcentral
AUGAACGCAGGCGGCGUGCCUAAUACAUGCAAGUCGAGCGAACAGACGAGGAGCUUGCUCCUCUGACGUUAGCGGCGGACGGGUGAGUAACACGUGGAUAACCUACCUAUAAGACUGGGAUAACUUCGGGAAACCGGAGCUAAUACCGGAUAAUAUAUUGAACCGCAUGGUUCAAUAGUGAAAGACGGUUUUGCUGUCACUUAUAGAUGGAUCCGCGCCGCAUUAGCUAGUUGGUAAGGUAACGGCUUACCAAGGCAACGAUGCGUAGCCGACCUGAGAGGGUGAUCGGCCACACUGGAACUGAGACACGGUCCAGACUCCUACGGGAGGCAGCAGUAGGGAAUCUUCCGCAAUGGGCGAAAGCUUGACGGAGCAACGCCGCGUGAGUGAUGAAGGUCUUCGGAUCGUAAAACUCUGUUAUUAGGGAAGAACAAAUGUGUAAGUAACUAUGCACGUCUUGACGGUACCUAAUCAGAAAGCCACGGCUAACUACGUG